CGAGGAGAUGGCUCAGUCUGUAAAGGGCAUGCCUUGUAAGCACAAUCUGUGAACAUUUACUGGGUGUCACAUCACUUAGAAAUGCCUGGCCUUUUACAGGUAUUAUUUCAGCUACUGGUGACCUCCAAAUCACACCUCUCCAACCCUCCACUGUGGGGAGGAACUGGAACCUCCCAAUAACGAAGGCUGUGUUCAAGGGCAUGGAGUGAGAUGAACACAAUUAAGAGUCACAAGACCAUUAAGAGAAUUCCAGAACCAAGUUGGGCACGCAGAUGGGAAGCUUCCAUGAGGCUGGGAAAGCCAAAGAAGGAACCACAAGGCAAGAGGUGCAGGUACCCCUGGAGGCAAUGGAUACCUCCUAGGCGCCUCCAGAAGGAAGCAAGUCCUACACACGUGUUGAUUUUGGUAUGGUGACAGCUAUGCAGGACCCUCUCAACUCCCAGAACUGGAAGGUGACCAGUGUGUCCUGUUUUAAGUCACCAAGGUCCUUGUCAACAGCAGCCAGGCACCAACGUGCCUGGUCACACUCUGAACAACCAUAAACAUGACACCCUUAGGGGACACCUUAGGAAAAGAGGUUCUCUCCUUCCACUGUGUGGGUUCUGGGGAUUGAACUCGGGUCUUCAGGUUUGGAGGCAGGCACCCUUUAUCCCUGGAGUCGUCUCCUUGGCCAUGAUGGGUGAGUUUUGAGCCUGGAAUACCAAACACCUGCCUCACUCACCUUCCUUCUUUCUUUCUCCCCUCCCCGCACCCCUGCCCAUCCUUUUCUACAUCUGUCCUUUCCUCCCUUCCUUAUGCCUUGCGCCCUCCUCCUCCUCCAUCUUUCUCUUCCUCCUCCUCUUCCUUUUCCUUCUUGUCUCCCCUCCCCUUCUUUUCUGGUUUCAGUUUCCUGAAAAAGGCUCUCACAGAUGCCAGGCUGGACUACCACUCAGUAUGUACCCGAGGAUGGCCUUGAACUCCUCAUCCUCCUGCCUCUACCUCCCAAGUGCUGGGAUUAGAGGCACGUGCCACCACGCCCGGCUCACACACAUGCUUUCUGUCCCUGCAAAGUGGAGACACUGAGAGGCAUCCAGGAUGCCAGUCACCUACUGAGAAGCCAGUUAAGUGCCUUGAGAUGCGGAGACAUUCGGGACGAGCAGAGGUGCAAAGUGCUGGGAUCCUAUUCCCAUGAUCCAGGGCCUCUCACGCCUAGAGAGUCAUCUGCCACUGAGCUACGCCCUUCCUGAGCUCCAGCAGGCAGGACGCCUCAACAAACACACAAGAGGCCAAGAGACCCAGGCCUUGGGAAUUCUUCAAGUUUCCUACUGGAACACAAGGUCUCUCGUGUUAUUGUCCCCUUCCGAAGCCGUCCUCGUCCUGUUGGGUC
This is a non-coding RNA of Peromyscus maniculatus bairdii (prairie deer mouse), 1366 nucleotides long. NCBI's taxonomy places the organism in Eukaryota, Metazoa, Chordata, Mammalia, Rodentia, Cricetidae. The record is from RefSeq and is a predicted model, not a curated record.